RNAcentral lists this ribosomal RNA (508 nucleotides) under uncultured bacterium. RNAcentral describes it as "partial 16S ribosomal RNA". It matches the Rfam family "Bacterial small subunit ribosomal RNA", at positions 28 to 507 of the family's 1533-position model. The record is from RNAcentral.
GACGAACGCUGGCGGCGUGCUUAACACAUGCAAGUCGAACGGGAUAAUUUGAGAGCUUGCUCUUAGAGAAUCUAGUGGCAAACGGGUGAGUAACACGUAGACAACCUGCCGACAGGAUGGGGACAACAUUCCGAAAGGAAUGCUAAUACCGAAUGAAGCGGAGGAGAGGCAUCUCUCCUCCGUGAAAGAUGGCCUCUGAAUAUGCUAUCACCUGUCGAUGGGUCUGCGUCUGAUUAGCUAGUUGGUGAGGUAACGGCUCACCAAGGCGACGAUCAGUAGCCGGUCUGAGAGGAUGAACGGCCACAUUGAGACUGAGACACGGCCCAGACUCCUACGGGAGGCAGCAGUGGGGAAUCUUCCGCAAUGGGCGCAAGCCUGACGGAGCAACGCCGCGUGAGUGAAGAAGGUCUUCGGAUCGUAAAGCUCUGUUGACGGGGACGAACGUGCGAAGGGUGAAUAAUCCUUUGUAAUGACGGUACCUGUCGAGGAAGCCACGGCUAACUACGUG